This 323-nucleotide unclassified non-coding RNA is filed under the name plant metagenome. RNAcentral describes it as "partial contains 5.8S ribosomal RNA, internal transcribed spacer 2, and large subunit ribosomal RNA". The stretch from base 1 to 105 matches the Rfam family "5.8S ribosomal RNA", at positions 50 to 154 of the family's 154-position model. The record is from RNAcentral.
GAAAUGCGAUACGUAAUGUGAAUUGCAGAAUUCAGUGAAUCAUCGAGUCUUUGAACGCACAUUGCGCCCCCUGGUAUUCCGGGGGGCAUGCCUGUCCGAGCGUCAUUGCUGCCCUCAAGCACGGCUUGUGUGUUGGGCCCCCGUCCCCCCCCAAGGUGACGGGCCCGAAAGGCAGCGGCGGCACCGUGUCCGGUCCUCGAGCGUAUGGGAAGCAACUUUUUGUCACCCGCUCCUGUAGGUCCGGCCGGCGGCCUGCCCAACCCCAACCUUUUUUUCAACCAGGUUGACCUCGGAUCAGGUAGGGAUACCCGCUGAACUUAAGC